Molecule: long non-coding RNA, 302 nt
Filed under: Physcomitrium patens
Lineage: Eukaryota; Viridiplantae; Streptophyta; Bryopsida; Funariales; Funariaceae
Description: long non-coding RNA (PPAT_LNC005966)
Source: RNAcentral
AAGAAAAAAAUAACCCUUCUUUUGCGACAUGUAUAAAAGCUCUCACACCUAUCAAUAAGGAUUUGAAUGUACUAGACUUAUGUAUUUUUAUUUGACUAACAAAAUUUGAGGUUAAACUAUUAAAAAAAUUAAGGUUAUGAGAAAUAUAAUCCAUUUGAGGAUUAUACUUUUCUAUCCAAGAUAAUCCUAAAAUAAUCAAAUUACACAAAGAUCUUAUUAAAUUAAAUAUUAUUAUGCUAUUAUGAUCUUUAAUUGUUACAUCUAAAGAAACAGUCUCAUGCGUAAUAUCUCCAAAAGAUAAC